Molecule: unclassified non-coding RNA, 674 nt
Filed under: Hevea brasiliensis (rubber tree)
Lineage: Eukaryota; Viridiplantae; Streptophyta; Magnoliopsida; Malpighiales; Euphorbiaceae
Source: RNAcentral
GGCGUCAGAUUGAGCAUUUUUUUGGGGCUUCGGUUUUGUCAAUUCAACACACUUUUUUCAAGAUAUUCACUGCGCACCAGUGUCAUGUCGGUGGGUUUCAACUUUGCCGACAUCGAUUAGGAACCCGCCAUUUGUCAAUAACAAACGGCGCCGGAUUAUUCAGAUGGUUUAGUUGCAAAUCCGGACCAUUUUCGCCAGUGACCACCGACGGCCUCUUGUUGCUGAGGAAUCGCGCGGAGUUAGUCCAAUUUUGCAGAACUAGGAUGAGAAUUGCUCAAAGUAUGCGAAUGAAUCUUCAGAGUUGCCGCUUGGAUUGAUCUAUAUCAGGAUCUUGAGGCUUAAUUUAACUUCAUAAAUUCAAUGACACGGCAACACAUUUAAUUUCGGGGAAGAAGGACGAAAAUUUCACAAUCACGGGCUGGCCAUCGGGCAUUUCUACUUGCUCGAAGCUGCUUUGUCGAUGUGGCUAUCUCCUUGGAAAAUUGAAUUUAAGAUAUGAUUUGUCUCUUGUAGCUAGGUUGGCAUUAAUAGUUCAUUAUUGGUAGCUUUCUUCUCCUUCAGCUUAUAUUCGUAUUCAUUGUCAUCUGUUUAUUUUUGCCCAGUUAGUGAGAUUAAUGGGAAAUUAUUCAAUAGACCUGGUAUACCAUGUCAUCAGAUGAUAUGGUACACCCAAU